UUUGAGCCGAGGGGCAAUGUAGAAACGGCAGGUUGGCGCCCAACCGGACACAGCAACAUGAAGCCCGCCUAGCGUGAAGGACUAGCUGAAGCGCUAAGAAAUACUGAGCCUGUGCAACAGGCAGCUAGACAGUAGCUAA
Molecule: non-coding RNA, 139 nt
Filed under: unclassified sequences
Description: poplar-1 RNA
Rfam family: poplar-1 RNA
About the family: metagenome only. Environment (Groundwater, Oak Ridge)
Source: Rfam by way of RNAcentral